CCAAUAGCGUAUAUUAAAGUUGUUGCAGUUAAAAAGCUCGUAGUUGAAUUUCGGGGUUAGCAGGUCGGUCGUGCCAUUGGUAUGAACUGGUCUCGCUGAUCCCUCCCUCUUGACGAACUGUGAUGCCAUUAAUUUGGUGUCGCAGGGAAUCAGGACUGUUACUUUGAAGAAAUUAGAGUGUUUAAAGCAGGCUUUCGCUUGAAUACAUUAGCAUGGAAUAAUGAAAUAGGACGUUUGAUCCUAUUUUGUUGGUUUCUAGGAUUGACGUAAUGAUUAAUAGGGAUAGUUGGGGGCAUUAGUAUUCAAUUGUCAGAGGUGAAAUUCUUGGAUUUAUUGAAGACUAACUACUGCGAAAGCAUUUGCCAAGGAUGUUUUCAUUAAUCAAGAACGAAAGUUAGGGGAUCGAAGACGAUCAGAUACCGUCGUAGUCUUAACCAUAAACUAUGCCGACUAGGGAUCGGAUGAUGUUAAUUUUUUAAUGACUCAUUCGGCGCCUUACG
RNAcentral lists this ribosomal RNA (500 nucleotides) under uncultured Glomeromycotina. Its description in RNAcentral is "partial small subunit ribosomal RNA". It matches the Rfam family "Eukaryotic small subunit ribosomal RNA", at positions 591 to 1092 of the family's 1831-position model. The record is from RNAcentral. Lineage: Eukaryota; Fungi; Glomeromycota.